This 315-nucleotide ribosomal RNA is filed under the name Triticum aestivum (bread wheat). Its description in RNAcentral is "partial small subunit ribosomal RNA". Lineage: Eukaryota; Viridiplantae; Streptophyta; Magnoliopsida; Poales; Poaceae. The record is from RNAcentral.
AUGACGUCCACGCUCGUCGUCAAGCCCACGGCGAACGACGCCUGGGGCACGAUCAAGACGAUGCGGCUCGGUGUAGCGCGCGUUCGUGAGUCCAAGGCGACGUCUCUACACCGCCAGUACGAGGCGAUCAAGUUCAACGACGGCGAGAGCAUCGACGACUUCGGUAUGCGCCUAUCUUCUCUGGUAACUCAACUUGAGCUACUUGGUGACAAAAUUGGCGAGCCCGCCGUCGUCCGCAAGUUUCUCUCAGUCGUUCCCAAGGCCUACUCGCAGAUGGCAUGUGCGAUCGAGACUCUGGUCGACCUCAACAUUCUG